CCUACGGGGUGCAGCAGUAGGGAAUUUUCGUCAAUGGGCGCAAGCCUGAACGAGCAAUGCCGCGUGAACGAGGAAGGUCUUCGGAUCGUUAAGUUCUGUUGAUGGGGAAAAAGAGCGGAGAGAGGAAAUGGUCUCCGAUUGAUAUUACCCUUCGAGGAAGUCACGGCUAACUACGUGCCAGCAGCCGCGGUAAUACGUAGGUGGCGAGCGUUAUCCGGAAUGAUUGGGCGUAAAGGGUGCGUAGGCGGCCUGCUAAGUCUGGAGUGAAAGGUACCGGCUUAACCGGUACAGGCUCUGGAAACUGGCGGGCUAGAGAGCAGGUGAGGGCGGAGGAACUCCAGGGGUAGCGGUAAAAUGCGUAGAUAUAUGGAAGAACACCAGUGGCGAAGGCGGCCGCCUGGCCUGUUACUGACGCUGAGGCACGAAAGCGUGGGGAGCAAAUAGGAUUAGAUACCCUUGUAGUC
RNAcentral lists this ribosomal RNA (464 nucleotides) under uncultured bacterium. Its description in RNAcentral is "partial 16S ribosomal RNA". It matches the Rfam family "Bacterial small subunit ribosomal RNA", at positions 338 to 795 of the family's 1533-position model. The record is from RNAcentral.